RNAcentral lists this ribosomal RNA (116 nucleotides) under Proteus mirabilis. Lineage: Bacteria; Pseudomonadati; Pseudomonadota; Gammaproteobacteria; Enterobacterales; Morganellaceae. The record is from RNAcentral.
CUUGGCGGCAAUAGCGCGGUGGUCCCACCUGAUCCCAUGCCGAACUCAUAAGUGAAACGUCGUAGAGCCUAUGGUAGCGUGGGGUGUCCCCAUGUGAGAUUAGUGAACUGCCAAGC